This 335-nucleotide long non-coding RNA is filed under the name Physcomitrium patens. RNAcentral describes it as "long non-coding RNA (PPAT_LNC008014)". Lineage: Eukaryota; Viridiplantae; Streptophyta; Bryopsida; Funariales; Funariaceae. The record is from RNAcentral.
AUACAAUUAUUAUAUGAUAAGUAAGAUUCUCCUUUGUCAUAACCACAACAGUCUCUAUCUUAUACUAAGCCCUCCAAAAUUUUAAACUAGUUAUGCAAAAAACAAAUUUUGUCCCCACUUGAUGUCUCUUAAACUUAAGAAAAAAAGGGUUAAGACACAUCCCCUAAAUGAUUAUACAUUGAAUGGCACUUAUCCACUUGGUGCAAAUUUUGUGGAAGUUAUGCUAAAGAAAAUUAAUUGCCCAGCAAUUUGCUAAGUAAUCUUAAUGUAACCCUCACUUGACACUUGCUCUAGGACUCUCAGACAUAUAACAUCCCCUACCACAACAACACCAU